CAGUCGCCGCGGUAAUACGUAGGGUGCGAGCGUUGUCCGGAAUUAUUGGGCGUAAAGCGUGCGCAGGCGGUUUUGUAAGACAGGCGUGAAAUCCCCGGGCUCAACCUGGGAAUGGCGCUUGUGACUGCAAAGCUUGAGUGCGGCAGAGGGGGAUGGAAUUCCGCGUGUAGCAGUGAAAUGCGUAGAUAUGCGGAGGAACACCGAUGGCGAAGGCAAUCCCCUGGGCCUGCACUGACGCUCAUGCACGAAAGCGUGGGGAGCAGACAGGAUUAGAUACCCGCGUAGUCCCUGUCUCUUAUAC
Molecule: ribosomal RNA, 301 nt
Filed under: uncultured bacterium
Lineage: Bacteria
Description: partial 16S ribosomal RNA
Rfam family: Bacterial small subunit ribosomal RNA
Source: RNAcentral